Molecule: long non-coding RNA, 666 nt
Filed under: Brassica rapa (field mustard)
Lineage: Eukaryota; Viridiplantae; Streptophyta; Magnoliopsida; Brassicales; Brassicaceae
Description: long non-coding RNA (BRAP_LNC000144)
Source: RNAcentral
AUCAUUAUUUUUAACCAAUUCACGGAUAUGGUAUUGACAUCGACUACUUAACUUUUCUGGACAUGGACCUAUGUAUUUCUUAUGACAAUAGUAAAAUAUUAUGUGCAUAACAAAACUUUGAAAUAAACAGAGUCAGUUAUUCAAUGAUAUAAAUCGUUAAUAUAAUUAUAAAUUGUAUUACAUCACCAAACGUGACGUUACAUUUAAAAUUCUAAAGUCACAAGUUAAGCCACGAAAUUAAAGUAUAUUUAAAUGUAACACAAACGUUGCUGUGAUUUGUAACCUUGUGCUACACGGUGGAAACUGAAAAAAAAAAAAACAAGUGCGCUACGCGUGAACGUGAGUGCGUUUGGAGUAAGAGAUGUGACCCAAACGCGCCUCUUUAUCAGGCUUAAGAGUCGACGACACCAUUGAUAACACGCGUAAAAGUUCUUAAAACAAUGAGAAAGUUGAAAGCAAACCUCGGACAAAUAUUAGCCAUACAAGACUAAUGUUAUUCUUGACAUUAAUCAAAUCUAUUUCAUUUUAUUUUUUUUGGUCUAAACAAUCUUAUUAAUUUUAGUGUAUGAGUUUAGUAUUAUAUCCGUUAAUCAGUAGUAUACUUUCAUAAAAAUACAUGAGAAUUGAGUCUCUCUGUAUAUGCAUAUUUAUCACUUCACUGCAAAA